GCAUAUCAAUAAGCGGAGGAAAAGAAACCAACAGGGAUUGCCUCAGUAACGGCGAGUGAAGCGGCAACAGCUCAAAUUUGAAAUCUGGCUCCUUCGGGGCCCGAGUUGUAAUUUGUAGAAGAUGCUUCGGGUGUGGCUCCGGUCUAAGUUCCUUGGAACAGGACGUCACAGAGGGUGAGAAUCCCGUACGUGGCCGGUGGCCUACGCCCGUGUGAAGCUCUUUCGACGAGUCGAGUUGUUUGGGAAUGCAGCUCUAAAUGGGUGGUAAAUUUCAUCUAAAGCUAAAUAUUGGCCAGAGACCGAUAGCGCACAAGUAGAGUGAUCGAAAGAUGAAAAGCACUUUGGAAAGAGAGUCAAACAGUACGUGAAAUUGUUGAAAGGGAAGCGCUUGCAACCAGACUUGGGCGCCGUCGAUCACCCGGUGUUCUCACCGGUGCACUCGGCGGCGUACAGGCCAGCAUCGGUUUGGGUGGCCAGAUAAAGGUCGCGGGAAUGUGGCUCUCUCCGGGGAGUGUUAUAGCCCGUGGCGCCAUGUGGCCCACCUGGACCGAGGACCGCGCUUCGGCUAGGAUGCUGGCGUAAUGGUUGUAAGCGACCCGUCUUGAAACACGGACCAAGGAGUCUAACAUCUAUGCGAGUGUUUGGGUGUCAAACCCAUACGCGUAAUGAAAGUGAACGGAGGUAAGAGCCCUUAAGGGUGCAUUAUCGACCGAUCCUGAUGUCUUCGGAUGGAUUUGAGUAAGAGCAUAGCUGUUGGGACCCGAAAGAUGGUGAACUAUGCCUGAAUAGGGUGAAGCCAGAGGAAACUCUGGUGGAGGCUCGCAGCGGUUCUGACGUGCAAAUCGAUCGUCAAAUUUGGGUAUAGGGGCGAAAGACUAAUCGAACCAUCUAGUAGCUGGUUCCUGCCGA
This 909-nucleotide ribosomal RNA is filed under the name Polydesmia fructicola. RNAcentral describes it as "LSU rRNA". It matches the Rfam family "Eukaryotic large subunit ribosomal RNA", at positions 38 to 964 of the family's 3401-position model. Lineage: Eukaryota; Fungi; Ascomycota; Leotiomycetes; Helotiales. The record is from RNAcentral.